Molecule: ribosomal RNA, 373 nt
Filed under: uncultured bacterium
Lineage: Bacteria
Description: bacterial SSU rRNA
Rfam family: Bacterial small subunit ribosomal RNA
Source: RNAcentral
GGAGGUGGCAAGCGUUGUUCGGAAUUACUGGGCGUAAAGGGCGCGUAGGCGGCUAGGCAAGUCAGGUGUGAAAGCCCCGGGCUUAACUCGGGAAUUGCAUCUGAAACUGCUGUGCUUGAGUUCUGGAGGGGGUAGUGGAAUUCCCAGUGUAGCGGUGAAAUGCGUAGAUAUUGGGAGGAACACCUGCGGCGAAGGCGGCUACCUGGACAGAAACUGACGCUGAGGCGCGAAAGCUAGGGGAGCGAACGGGAUUAGAUACCCCGGUAGUCCUAGCUGUAAACGAUGGGUACUUGGUGUUGGGGGUAUUGAGUCCCUCAGUGCCGGAGUUAACACGUUAAGUGCCCCGCCUGGGGAGUACGGUCGCAAGACUGAA